UUAUAAAAAUUUAAAAUUAAUUACUUAAAAAUUAAUAGUUAAGUUCUUUAAAUUUAAGAGAUUUGGCGGUAUUUCAGUCUUAUUAGAGGAACCUGUAUUUUUAUUGAUAAUCCACGAUUAAUUUUACUUAUUUUAAAAAUUCAUAUAUCGCUGUCAUGAAUAUAUUUAAAAAUUUAUUUUCUUUAAUUAUUUUAAUGAUUUAUGUUAAGUCAAGAUGUGGUUUAUAAAUAAGUUAAUUAUGGGUUACAAUAAAUUUAAUUUUUGGAUUUUAAAUGAAAAUAAUUGAUGAAAUUGGAUUUAAUAGUAAUUUUAAUUAUUUAAUUAAUAUGAAUAAAGAUCUGAAAUAUGUACAUAUUGCCCGUCAUUCUUAUUAAAAAUAAGACAAGUCGUAACAAAGUAAGUGUACUGGAAAGUGUACUUAGAAAGA
Molecule: ribosomal RNA, 427 nt
Filed under: Nipponaphis loochooensis
Lineage: Eukaryota; Metazoa; Arthropoda; Insecta; Hemiptera; Hormaphididae
Description: partial small subunit ribosomal RNA
Source: RNAcentral